CGCGAAACCGGGCGAGCUACCAUGGGGCGUAUGUUAGUACGGCAUAUGUGGCACAAUAGUAAUAGAUCCUUUGGUAGGAGUGAGAGGCUACCAAGUCCGGUGAUAUCUCGAUAAUCUUAAAACGUAUUGAGUACACCGUCAGUUUAUUAGUGAUAAGGCUGAUAAAAAUUAUCUAAUUUGAUUAAUGGUACUAGCAUAGUUUAAACGCUGGUUCUCUAACUUAACAAAUAUUAGUAUCUGCUUGAUAGUAAACAAUAAAGAUUAAUACUAAAUAACAGUGAGUAUUUACAUUGUAAGUAUAAGUAACCUAGACACCGCUGAUGAACUCGGCAAUAUUUCUUUCACCUGUUUAUCAAAAACAUCGCCAGUAGGAGGUACUAUUGGUUGGUCCUGCUCAAUGUACCAUAAAUAGCCGCAGUACCCUGACUGUGCAAAGGUAGCAUAAUCAUUUGGCUAAUAAUUGGAGUCUCGUAUGAAUGGAUGCAUGGGGGAAAACUCUAUUGGUGGUGCUAACAGAAAUUGCUAAGCGGGUGCAAAUUCCCGCAGUUAAAUAAUAGACGAGAAGACCCUUGAAAUUUUUACAAAAAGAUAUCCUGAAUUUUUGUUGGGGCAACAUAGUAGCAUUUAACCUACAUUACUAUACACGUCAUCCUGUAGUUAGAUUAAAUUACUCUAGGGAUAACAGCGUAAUUCUAAAUGAGUUUGCGACCUCGAUGUUGGACUAGGAAGCAGAUGCUUAGAA
Molecule: ribosomal RNA, 742 nt
Filed under: Amplirhagada lamarckiana
Lineage: Eukaryota; Metazoa; Mollusca; Gastropoda; Stylommatophora; Camaenidae
Description: partial 16S ribosomal RNA
Rfam family: Archaeal large subunit ribosomal RNA
Source: RNAcentral